Molecule: non-coding RNA, 119 nt
Organism: Bacillus sp. FJAT-25509
Lineage: Bacteria; Bacillati; Bacillota; Bacilli; Caryophanales; Bacillaceae
Source: Rfam
GGGGGCGUUACGGAUUCGACAGGGGUAGUUCGAGCUUAAGUCGCGAGUCGAGGGGUCGGCCUCGUUAAAACGCAAAAGCCAAUAACUGGCAAAAACAACAAUUUCUCUUUAGCUGCUUA